AGCGAAAUUCCUUGUGGGGUAAGUUCCCACGCGCACGAAUGGUGUAACAACCUGGGCGCUGUCUCAACGUGAGACUCGGCGAAACUGUAGUGGCGGUGAAGAUGCCGUCUACCCGCAUCAAGACGAAAAGACCCCAGAACCUUUACUGUAACCUGCCAUUGGAAUUUGGUUCAAUAUGUGUAGCAUAGGUGGGAGGCUUUGAGGCUGCGGCGCUAGCUGCGGCAGAGCCACAAUGUGAAAUACCACCCUUAUUGCACUAAGUUUCUAACCCCUUGCCGUGAAUCCGGCGGAGGGACAGUGACAGGCGGGCAGUUUGACUGGGGCGGUUCCCUUCUAAAAGAUAACAAAGGGGCCCAAAGGUUGGCUCAGGGCGGUCGGCAAUCGCCCGUGGAGCGCAAGCGCAUAUGCCAGCUUAACUGCGAGUCCGACAGGACAAGCAGAUACGAAAGUAGGGGCUAGUGAUCCGGUGGUUGAAUGUGGAAUUGCCAUCGCUCAACGGAUAAUAGGUACUCUGGGGAUAACAGGCUUAUCGGGCUCGAGAGUUCACAUCGACAGCCCGGUUUGGCACCUCAACAUUUGGGGUGGACCGGAAGUAAUUCCGGUCAUGUAUUGGCUAAUAACGGUGGAGCCCGACGAAUAAGGGUAAUACCGUGGGAAGUCUAUAGAGCAAUACGCAGGUAAUAUCAGUGGUCUUUUCUCUUGGUGACAAAAUAUCGCGAACAAUAAGUCUAAUACUUUGACUCUGAAUAUAUCAAUAUGAAAAAAGUUCAAAUGUAUUAGGUUAUUUUCAAGUAUUUUGGUCGCCUUGAGAAAACCAUGUUCUAUAUGACCCCGUAACGACUGAUUUCGCCACUUGAACGCGGCGAUUGAGAUAGUUGUAUAACAUAAACAACUAUCAUACGCCAACUCCAUUUACUGCAAAAUGGAUGGAGAUAUAGUCUAAUCCCACGCGAGAGCGUGGAUACGAUUGCGAUGUCGGCUCAUCCUAUCCUGGGGCUGCAUAAGGUCCCAAGGGUCCGGCUGUUCGCCGGUUAAAAGGGUACGCGAGCUGGGUUCAGAACGUAGAUAACACUGCGUUUUUCCAUAGUAAUAUGGAAAGAGAAUUGACUUAUAUCGGUGAAGCCCUACUGCAGGAUACCGAACGCUGCAGGGGUAAUACCGAGGGAAGGCCAUCGAAAUCUAAAAUUUAAUAUAGAUCAUGAUUCGAUGUGUCCCCGUAACGACUGAUUUCGCUACAAAAUGUAGCGAAUGAGAUAGCUAGUUAAAUAGCUAUCACACGUCAACUCCUCGAAAGAGGAUGGAGAUAUAGUCUAUGCCACUGGUAACAGUGGGUUAAACAUGCGUGAGACAGUUCGGUCUCUAUCUGAUGUGGGCGCAAGGAUACUUGAAGAGGAGUUCUCUUCAGUACGAGAGGACCUAGAGAAACGAACCUCUGGUGUUCCGGUUGUCCUGCCAAGGGCAAAGGCCGGGUAGCUAUGUUCGGAAGGGAUAAGCGCUGAAAGCAUCUAAGUGCCAAGCCCCCCUCAAGAAUAGGUAUCCCUGGGUCGCAAGACUCUGAAGGCUGGUCGUAGACUACGACCUUGAUAGGCGUGAUGUGUAAGAUCCGUAAGGAUUUAAGCUAACACGUACUAAUCAGCCAAUCGGCUUAACCUU
This 1653-nucleotide ribosomal RNA is filed under the name Candidatus Omnitrophota bacterium. RNAcentral describes it as "partial 23S ribosomal RNA". It matches the Rfam family "Bacterial large subunit ribosomal RNA", at positions 1958 to 2925 of the family's 2925-position model. Lineage: Bacteria; Pseudomonadati; Candidatus Omnitrophota. The record is from RNAcentral.